GUCGCAUUGGCGCAAUGGUAGCGCGCAAGACUUCUAAUCUUGAGGUUGUGGGUUCGAGCCCCACAUGCGAUG
RNAcentral lists this transfer RNA (72 nucleotides) under Blumeria graminis f. sp. tritici 96224. Its description in RNAcentral is "tRNA-Arg (TCT) (tRNA-Arg-TCT-1-1, tRNA-Arg-TCT-1-2)". It matches the Rfam family "tRNA". Rfam says of the family: Transfer RNA (tRNA) molecules are approximately 80 nucleotides in length. Their secondary structure includes four short double-helical elements and three loops (D, anti-codon, and T loops). Further hydrogen bonds mediate the characteristic L-shaped molecular structure. tRNAs have two regions of fundamental functional importance: the anti-codon, which is responsible for specific mRNA codon recognition, and the 3' end, to which the tRNAs corresponding amino acid is attached (by aminoacyl-tRNA synthetases). tRNAs cope with the degeneracy of the genetic code in two manners: having more than one tRNA (with a specific anti-codon) for a particular amino acid; and 'wobble' base-pairing, i.e. permitting non-standard base-pairing at the 3rd anti-codon position. Lineage: Eukaryota; Fungi; Ascomycota; Leotiomycetes; Helotiales; Erysiphaceae. The record is from RNAcentral. RNAcentral also lists the same sequence under 2 other names.